AACGCACAUUGCGCCUCCCGGCAUCCCGGGAGGCAUGCCUGUCCGAGCGUCAUUGCAACCCCUCAAGCGCGGCUUGUGUGUUGGGUCGAACGUCCCGCGUGGACGGGCCCGAAAGGCAGUGGCGGCGUCGUGACCGGUGCCUGAGCGUAUGGGUCUUGUUAUCCGCUCGGUGGCCCGGUCCGGUGCUCGCUUUGACCGUCAACGUCUCUCAUGGUUGACCUCGGAUCAGGUAGGGAUACCCGCUGAACUUAA
This 252-nucleotide unclassified non-coding RNA is filed under the name uncultured fungus. RNAcentral describes it as "partial contains 5.8S ribosomal RNA, internal transcribed spacer 2, and large subunit ribosomal RNA". The record is from RNAcentral. Lineage: Eukaryota; Fungi.